RNAcentral lists this ribosomal RNA (253 nucleotides) under uncultured bacterium. Its description in RNAcentral is "partial 16S ribosomal RNA". It matches the Rfam family "Bacterial small subunit ribosomal RNA", at positions 524 to 776 of the family's 1533-position model. The record is from RNAcentral.
UACGUAGGGAGCAAGCGUUGUCCGGAAUCAUUGGGCGUAAAGAGCGCGUAGGCGGUCCGGUAAGUCGGUUGUGAAAACUGGGGGCUCAACCCUCAGAGGCCGACCGAUACUGCCGGGCUAGAGUCCGGAAGAGGCGAGUGGAAUUCCUGGUGUAGCGGUGAAAUGCGCAGAUAUCAGGAGGAACACCUGUGGCGAAAGCGGCUCACUGGACCAUAACUGACGCUGAGGCACGAAAGCUAGGGGAGCAAACGGG